UUUGAANCCCNUUGGGUCCUUCCGGACCUGAGUAGAGUGGCGCACGGGUGAGUAACGCGUGGGUAAUCUACCCUUCAGCUGGGAAUAACCNNUCGAAAGGUGGGCUAAUACCGAAUAAUACGGCCGGGCUGCGGUUCGGUCGUCAAAGAUAGCCUCUGCUUGCAAGCUUUCGCUGAAGGAUGAGCCCGCGUCCCAUUAGCUUGUUGGUAGGGUAACGGCCUACCAAGGCGACGAUGGGUAGCUGGUCUGAGAGGAUGAUCAGCCACACAGGAACUGAGACACGGUCCAGACUCCUACGGGAGGCAGCAGUGAGGAAUCUUGCGCAAUGGGGGCAACCCUGACGCAGCAACGCCGCGUGAGUGAGGAAGGCCUUCGGCUCGUAAAGCUCUGUCGGAUGGAAAGAAACGGAUGCGGGUUAAUAGCCUUCAUCCCUGACGGUACCAUCAGAGGAAGCACCGGCUAACUCCGUGCCAGCAGCCGCGGUAAUACGGGGGGUGCAAGCGUUGUUCGGAAUCAUUGGGCGUAAAGCGCGUGUAGGCGGCUUGGUAAGUCAGGUGUGAAAGCCCUGGGCUCAACCCAGGAAGUGCACUUGAUACUGCCUUGCUUGAGUACNGGAGAGGAAAGCGGAAUUCCUGGUGUAGAGGUGAAAUUCGUAGAUAUCAGGANGAACACCGGUGGCGAAGGCGGCUUUCUGGCCCAAUACUUGACGCUGAAACCCNAAACGUGGGGAGCAAACA
RNAcentral lists this ribosomal RNA (737 nucleotides) under uncultured bacterium. Its description in RNAcentral is "bacterial SSU rRNA". It matches the Rfam family "Bacterial small subunit ribosomal RNA", at positions 67 to 774 of the family's 1533-position model. The record is from RNAcentral.